This 585-nucleotide ribosomal RNA is filed under the name uncultured archaeon. RNAcentral describes it as "bacterial SSU rRNA". It matches the Rfam family "Archaeal small subunit ribosomal RNA", at positions 7 to 597 of the family's 1478-position model. The record is from RNAcentral.
GUUGAUCCUGCCGGACCUGACUGCCAUCGGAUUGGUACUAAGCCAUGCGAGUCGUUGUAGCAAUACAAGGCGAACUGCUCAGUAACACGUAGUUAACCUAACCUAUGGAUGGGGAUAACCUCGGGAAACUGAGAAUAAUACCCAAUAGAUCACAGUGCCUGGAAUGGCCUGUGAUUGAAAUGAUUUAUCGCUGUAAGAUGGGACUGCGGCCUAUCAGCUUGUUGGUGAGGUAAUGGCCCACCAAGGCUAUAACAGGUACGGGCCCUGAGAGGAGGGGCCCGGAGAUGGGUACUGAGACACGGACCCAGGCCCUAUGGGGCGCAGCAGGCGAGAAACCUUUGCAAUGUGCGAAAGCACGACAAGGUUAAUCCGAGUGUCUCCUGCUAAAGGAGUCUUUUGUCAGUUGUAGAAUCACUGGUGAAUAAGGGGUGGGCAAGUUCUGGUGUCAGCCGCCGCGGUAAAACCAGCACCUCGAGUGGUCAGGAGGUUUAUUGGGCCUAAAGCAUCCGUAGCCGGUUGCAUACAGUUUCGGUUAAAUCUAUUGCGCUUAACGUAUAGGCCGCCGAAAAUACUGUGCAGCUACGG